RNAcentral lists this ribosomal RNA (253 nucleotides) under uncultured bacterium. RNAcentral's name for it is "partial 16S ribosomal RNA". It matches the Rfam family "Bacterial small subunit ribosomal RNA", at positions 524 to 776 of the family's 1533-position model. The record is from RNAcentral.
GACGGAGGGGGCAAGCGUUGUCCGGACUCAUUGGGCGUAAAGGGUGCGUAGGCGGCUUCCUAAGUUUGAUGUGAAAUCCUGGGGCUCAACCCUGGAACUGCAUUGAAUACUGGGAGGCUAGAGUACUGGAGAGGAAACUGGAAUUUACGGUGUAGCAGUGAAAUGCGUAGAGAUCGUAAGGAAGACCAGUGGCGAAGGCGCUCUACUGGACCACAACUGACACUCAGGGACGAAAGCUAGGGGAGCGAAUGGG